ACAGAGACUGCAAGCGUUACUCGGAUUUACUGGGCGUAAAGGGUCUGCAGGCGGCCACGUGUGUUGGGUGUGAAAUCCUACGGCUUAACCGUAGAACGGCGCCCAAAACUACGUGGCUAGAGUCUCGGAGAGGGUAGUGGAAUUCCAGGUGGAGGGGUGAAAUGCGUAGAUCUGUGGAGGACCACCAGGGGCGAAGGCAGCUAAAGGGACGCAUCCUGAGGCUCAUGGACGAAAGCGUGGGGAGCAAAAAG
RNAcentral lists this ribosomal RNA (251 nucleotides) under uncultured prokaryote. RNAcentral's name for it is "partial 16S rRNA". It matches the Rfam family "Bacterial small subunit ribosomal RNA", at positions 525 to 775 of the family's 1533-position model. The record is from RNAcentral.